ACAGUUCCGUAGUGAACCUGCGGAAGGAUCAUU
RNAcentral lists this ribosomal RNA (33 nucleotides) under Psorodonotus venosus. RNAcentral's name for it is "partial 18S ribosomal RNA". Lineage: Eukaryota; Metazoa; Arthropoda; Insecta; Orthoptera; Tettigoniidae. The record is from RNAcentral.